GGGGCCGUGCGGCGUGCUAUACUGCAAGUCGAACGCUUCUUUUCCCACCGGAGCUUGCUCCACCGGGAAAAGAGGAGUGGCGAACGGGUGAGUAACACGUGGGUAACCUGCCCAUCAGAAGGGGAUAACACUUGGAAACAGGUGCUAAUACCGUAUAACAAUCGAAACCGCAUGGUUUCGUUUUGAAAGGCGCUUUACGGUGCCGCUGAUGGAUGGACCCGCGGUGCAUUAGCUAGUUGGUGAGGUAACGGCUCACCAAGGCCACGAUGCAUAGCCGACCUGAGAGGGUGAUCGGCCACAUUGGGACUGAGACACGGCCCAAACUCCUACGGGAGGCAGCAGUAGGGAAUCUUCGGCAAUGGACGAAAGUCUGACCGAGCAACGCCGCGUGAGUGAAGAAGGUUUUCGGAUCGUAAAACUCUGUUGUUAGAGAAGAACAAGGGUGAGAGUAACUGUUCACCCCUUGACGGUAUCUAACCAGAAAGCCACGGCUAACUACGUGCCAGCAGCCGCGGUAAUACGUAGGUGGCAAGCGUUGUCCGGAUUUAUUGGGCGUAAAGCGAGCGCAGGCGGUUUCUUAAGUCUGAUGUGAAAGCCCCCGGCUCAACCGGGGAGGGUCAUUGGAAACUGGGAGACUUGAGUGCAGAAGAGGAGAGUGGAAUUCCAUGUGUAGCGGUGAAAUGCGUAGAUAUAUGGAGGAACACCAGUGGCGAAGGCGGCUCUCUGGUCUGUAACUGACGCUGAGGCUCGAAAGCGUGGGGAGCAAACAGGAUUAGAUACCCUGGUAGUCCACGCCGUAAACGAUGAGUGCUAAGUGUUGGAGGGUUUCCGCCCUUCAGUGCUGCAGCUAACGCAUUAAGCACUCCGCCUGGGGAGUACGACCGCAAGGUUGAAACUCAAAGGAAUUGACGGGGGCCCGCACAAGCGGUGGAGCAUGUGGUUUAAUUCGAAGCAACGCGAAGAACCUUACCAGGUCUUGACAUCCUUUGACCACUCUAGAGAUAGAGCUUCCCCUUCGGGGGCAAAGUGACAGGUGGUGCAUGGUUGUCGUCAGCUCGUGUCGUGAGAUGUUGGGUUAAGUCCCGCAACGAGCGCAACCCUUAUUGUUAGUUGCCAUCAUUUAGUUGGGCACUCUAGCAAGACUGCCGGUGACAAACCGGAGGAAGGUGGGGAUGACGUCAAAUCAUCAUGCCCCUUAUGACCUGGGCUACACACGUGCUACAAUGGGAAGUACAACGAGUCGCGAAGUCGCGAGGCUAAGCUAAUCUCUUAAAGCUUCUCUCAGUUCGGAUUGUAGGCUGCAACUCGCCUACAUGAAGCCGGAAUCGCUAGUAAUCGCGGAUCAGCACGCCGCGGUGAAUACGUUCCCGGGCCUUGUACACACCGCCCGUCACACCACGAGAGUUUGUAACACCCGAAGUCGGUGAGGUAACCUUUUGGAGCCAGCCGCCUAAGGUGGAUAGAUGAUGGG
Molecule: ribosomal RNA, 1471 nt
Filed under: Enterococcus mundtii
Lineage: Bacteria; Bacillati; Bacillota; Bacilli; Lactobacillales; Enterococcaceae
Description: bacterial SSU rRNA
Rfam family: Bacterial small subunit ribosomal RNA
Source: RNAcentral